GAUGAACGCUGGCGGCGUGCCUAAUACAUGCAAGUCGAGCGAACAGACGAGGAGCUUGCUCCUUUGACGUUAGCGGCGGACGGGUGAGUGACACGUGGGUAACCUACCUAUAAGACUGGGAUAACUUCGGGAAACCGGAGCUAAUACCGGAUAAUAUUUCGAACCGCAUGGUUCGAUAGUGAAAGAUGGCUUUGCUAUCACUUAUAGAUGGACCUGCGCCGUAUUAGCUAGUUGGUAAGGUAACGGCUUACCAAGGCAACGAUACGUAGCCGACCUGAGAGGGUGAUCGGCCACACUGGAACUGAGACACGGUCCAGACUCCUACGGGAGGCAGCAGUAGGGAAUCUUCCGCAAUGGGCGAAAGCCUGACGGAGCAACGCCGCGUGAGUGAUGAAGGUCUUCGGAUCGUAAAACUCUGUUAUUAGGGAAGAACAAACGUGUAAGUAACUGUGCACGUCUUGACGGUACCUAAUCAGAAAGCCACGGCUAACUACGUG
This 497-nucleotide ribosomal RNA is filed under the name uncultured bacterium. Its description in RNAcentral is "partial 16S ribosomal RNA". It matches the Rfam family "Bacterial small subunit ribosomal RNA", at positions 28 to 507 of the family's 1533-position model. The record is from RNAcentral.